GCUUAGAGAGGGGUCAAUGUCCUAUCAGCUAGUUGGUAAGGUAAUGGCUUACCAAGGCUAAGACGGGUAGCCGGCCUGAGAGGGUGGUCGGCCACACUGGGACUGAGACACUGCCCAGACUCCUACGGGAGGCUGCAGUCGAGAAUCUUUCGCAAUGCCCGAAAGGGUGACGAAGCGACGCCGCGUGUGGGAAGAAGGCCUUCGGGUUGUAAACCACUGUCGGGAGUUAAGAAAUGUAAGGGUGUUAAUAGCAUCCUUACUUGACUAAGGCUCCGGAGGAAGCCACGGCUAACUCUGUGCCAGCAGCCGCGGUAAUACAGAGGCGGCAAGCGUUGUUCGGAAUUAUUGGGCGUAAAGAGCACGUAGGCGGCUUUGUAAGUCAGUUGUGAAAGCCUUCCGCUUAACGGAAGAACAGCAUCUGAUACUGCAAGGCUAGAGUGCGGA
Molecule: ribosomal RNA, 444 nt
Filed under: uncultured Planctomycetota bacterium
Lineage: Bacteria; Pseudomonadati; Planctomycetota
Description: bacterial SSU rRNA
Rfam family: Bacterial small subunit ribosomal RNA
Source: RNAcentral